AGCGCAGGCGGUUUCUUAAGUCUGAUGUGAAAGCCCCGGCUUAACCGGGGAGGGUCAUUGGAAACUGAGGAACUUGAGUGCAGAAGAGGAGAGUGGAAUUCCAUGUGUAGCGGUGAAAUGCGUAGAUAUAUGGAGGAACACCAGUGGCGAAGGCGACUCUCUGGUCUGUAACUGACGCUGAGGCUCGAAAGCGUGGGGAGCAAACA
RNAcentral lists this ribosomal RNA (206 nucleotides) under uncultured Bacilli bacterium. Its description in RNAcentral is "partial 16S ribosomal RNA". It matches the Rfam family "Bacterial small subunit ribosomal RNA", at positions 568 to 774 of the family's 1533-position model. Lineage: Bacteria; Bacillati; Bacillota; Bacilli. The record is from RNAcentral.